AGAAGGGGUGUUGAGAAAAAGAAAUACAAAAGAAAAGAAACGCAGAAGAAAAGUAAUAGAAAAUGAGAUAAAGGGGCCCGGCCGGCCGCAACCUCCCACUCUAAGCACCAAGGAGCAAAUGGCUCUGCCCGGCCCUCCCCGCGGCUUAAAUCCCCCCGGCCCCGCCCCGCGCAGGCGCGCUGGGGCCCCGCGCACCUGUGCGCGCACCUGUGCUGGCCCCGCCCGUAAAUGGCGGCGGAUCCGCGCCCGCCUCACGUUCUGCGGGGGAUGCUCGGCCCGGGCUGCGGCGGGACCGGCGCUCGGAGAUCGGUUCGGGGCUGCUCCCGGCACUGCGCGGUGUCCGACGCGCUCAGGCACGCAGGGAUGCUUCAGCCCGGACAGACGCCACCGACAGCCCAAAGGGACCCUAGGGAACGGCUGGCAUCACCUGGGAAUGGAGGCACGGCCGUUUGCAGAGGGGCUCUGACAGCAAUCCCCGUUUCUGACCUCCCCGAGCUCCCACACAACUGCCAGGUACUAAAUGCCAAGCAAUAAGCCUUAGAAAUGCCUUAAAAUCAGAGGUUCGAGUGCGAUUACAUUUGGAGAUUUCCAGGGAGCCGGCUGGAGGUGCAGAUGUGAUGGAAAACUCUGAGAGGAAGGAAUUCAGCAGGGAACCUGAGGCUGUGGGCAUAAUUCAUCUGAACUAGCAAAGCUGAUACUGAACCCCAAAUCCAGGCACCACACAGAGAACAAUCUUUGUGCUAAAUUCCCUGGGUGGGGAAGUUUCAGCAGCCAAAUGUAUGGAAUGAUCAAAAUCCCAGCAGCCGGCAUCCCCCAGAGGGACAAUCCAAGUGCCAAGGUGGGAGCUCGGCUCGUGUCCUUCCCCUGCUGCUGGUGGGACAAAUUCCCCUAGGCACAGCUGGCUGGGUGGGAGCUGAGAUCAGGACGGAUAGGAGCACAGAUGGGAGCUGAGGCCACUAGCAUGUCACCUGGAGCAGCUGAACACGUUCUGUCCCUGCAGGAGCCAAAGCAGAUCCCUCCUGGCUGAGCUAGAAGGCAGCUGCUGGAUCUGCUCUGGGGGAAAACUCCCUGCCCCUGCCAGGAGCGCUGACUCUGCUUUUCCUCCAGCUCCUGAGCAGCGUCAGGGCCACUGGGAGGGAGUUCAAUCCCAAAAAAAUCCCCACAGCCCCCGGAGUGAAUGAUGCCAGCAGAGAAACGCAGCAUUGAAAUAAAAAACAUAGAGCUCUGUCAAAAAGGCUACAACAACAAUGUAAUGGGAUUCCCAGGAACCUUCUGGUUUGCUCUCAGAAUGCUCUUGGUUCUCCUUCAUGUAUUUUUAGUCCCUCAAUGGGCAGCUCGUAGAAUUUAUUCUGGGACUUAGAGGUUGAGCAGGGUGGGCUCUGGAUUGACCUUCGCCUCUGGUGCCACUUUGUGCAAACACAACUUGGCCAGGCUGGGUGAACUCAUGACCUCAGCUUUCCCCUCCAAAAUGUCCCUCACUUAUUUCCCUGCGGGUGAGCUGGGAUUUGG
Molecule: non-coding RNA, 1509 nt
Organism: Taeniopygia guttata (zebra finch)
Lineage: Eukaryota; Metazoa; Chordata; Aves; Passeriformes; Estrildidae
Source: RefSeq, a predicted model, not a curated record